Molecule: long non-coding RNA, 914 nt
Organism: Anguilla anguilla (European eel)
Lineage: Eukaryota; Metazoa; Chordata; Actinopteri; Anguilliformes; Anguillidae
Exons: 3
Source: RefSeq, a predicted model, not a curated record
CGUUGCUUUGUUAAUGGUUUGACAAUUAUUUAUAUGACAUAUGGAAAUAAGAAUUAUUUAUUUAGAUGGGGAUUGAUACAUAAACAUAGAGUAGCCUUGUUUAACAAAUAGUCUGAUGUCUGUAGGCAAUCAUAUCCCCUAUAGCACAAGCUAAUUUGUAAUGUUUCUUAGAUCUACUGAUCAGUAAGCUCGUUAGUUCUUAAAAUAUAAGCUAUUGCUGGUUCUGCUCUAUCAUAGCUUAGUCGUGUUUUAAAACAAAGUCCAUGGCCAAAAGUGUGUGUCACGGCUGUAGGCUACGGCUGUAAUUGAUUGCAGUACAUUAACAGUAGGAUUUCAACAGUAUUAACCAGUUAUUUUUAAAUACAGCGUUUACUGUUAAUACAAAAGAAAAUCUGUAAAAUUGCGCUCUAUUGACCGUUUUUAACAGAACUAUAAUGUAUUCCUAAAAUACAGCACGGUAUCAUGCAGUAUUUUUUGUAUUUUUUGCAUUUUGGGAAGAGCAAUUCCACGUGGACUGCACAUGUGAAGCUGGAUCCUUUCUUUUCUUAAUCCAUCCCCAUCUUACUAAUUAUUUGGUGAAACGACAGGAAGCUGUUUCCGCGCUGGAUGGUCAGCCUUGAGGGCCACAUCAUAUGUGAGGGGAUCCAGCCCACCUUCUUGACCUGGCUUGCUGCAUUAUUUUCCAGCUUCUACACCUUUAAUCUCCAAUACCAAGAAGAGGCAGCAUGCACACUCAAAUUCAUCCAAAGGCACUUCGUUGGAAUAAACUCUGAGAGAGGCACCAAGGCUGGACGGGGUAAAGUGUUAUCAAAGAAAACUGACGAAGUCACCAACAAAAAGACAACAACAGUCAAUCCACAUGUAUCCGCUGCUCAGGAGACUCAUCGACUUUGAGUGGGACUGCAUUUAAAAUG